This 90-nucleotide transfer RNA is filed under the name Acidobacteriota bacterium. Its description in RNAcentral is "tRNA-Ser". It matches the Rfam family "tRNA". Rfam says of the family: Transfer RNA (tRNA) molecules are approximately 80 nucleotides in length. Their secondary structure includes four short double-helical elements and three loops (D, anti-codon, and T loops). RNAcentral also lists the same sequence under 4 other names. The record is from RNAcentral. Lineage: Bacteria; Pseudomonadati; Acidobacteriota.
GGAGAGGUGCCGGAGUGGUCGAUCGGGGCGGUCUCGAAAACCGCUGACCUUUCACGAGGUCCAAGGGUUCGAAUCCCUUCCUCUCCGCCA